AGUGAACGCUGGCGGUAGGCCUAACACAUGCAAGUCGUACGGCAGCACAGUAAGAGCUUGCUCUUACGGGUGGCGAGUGGCGGACGGGUGAGGAAUACAUCGGAAUCUACUUUUUCGUGGGGGAUAACGUAGGGAAACUUACGCUAAUACCGCAUACGACCUACGGGUGAAAGCAGGGGAUCUUCGGACCUUGCGCGAUUGAAUGAGCCGAUGUCGGAUUAGCUAGUUGGCGAGGUAAAGGCCCACCAAGGCGACGAUCCGUAGCUGGUCUGAGAGGAUGAUCGGCCACACUGGAACUGAGACACGGUCCAGACUCCUACGGGAGGCAGCAGUGGGGAAUAUUGGACAAUGGGCGCAAGCCUGAUCCAGCCAUACCGCGUGGGUGAAGAAGGCCUUCGGGUUGUAAAGCCCUUUUGUUGGGAAAGAAAAGCAGCAGGUUAAUCCCCCGCUGUUCUGACGGUACCCAAAGAAUAAGCACCGGCUAACUUCGUG
This 492-nucleotide ribosomal RNA is filed under the name uncultured bacterium. Its description in RNAcentral is "partial 16S ribosomal RNA". It matches the Rfam family "Bacterial small subunit ribosomal RNA", at positions 29 to 507 of the family's 1533-position model. The record is from RNAcentral.